CCUACGGGGGGCAGCAGUAGGGAAUAUUGCUCAAUGGGGGAAACCCUGAAGCAGCAACGCCGCGUGGAGGAUGAAGGUUUUCGGAUUGUAAACUCCUUUUGUUAGAGAAGAUAAUGACGGUAUCUAACGAAUAAGCACCGGCCAACUCCGUGCCAGCAGCCGCGGUAAUACGGAGGGUGCAAGCGUUACUCGGAAGCACUGGGCGUAAAGAGCGCGUAGGCGGGAUAGCAAGUCAGAUGUGAAAUCCUAGGGCUUAACCAUAGAACUGCAUUUGAAACUGUUAUUCUAGAGUAUGGGAGAGGUAGGUGGAAUUCUUGGUGUAGGGGUAAAAUCCGUAGAGAUCAAGAGGAAUACUCAUUGCGAAGGCGACCUGCUAGAACAUAACUGACGCUGAUGCGCGAAAGCGUGGGGAGCAAACAGGAUUAGAUACCCGAGUAGUC
Molecule: ribosomal RNA, 440 nt
Filed under: uncultured bacterium
Lineage: Bacteria
Description: partial 16S ribosomal RNA
Rfam family: Bacterial small subunit ribosomal RNA
Source: RNAcentral